This 491-nucleotide ribosomal RNA is filed under the name uncultured bacterium. Its description in RNAcentral is "bacterial SSU rRNA". It matches the Rfam family "Bacterial small subunit ribosomal RNA", at positions 28 to 514 of the family's 1533-position model. The record is from RNAcentral.
GACGAACGCUGGCGGCGUGCCUAACACAUGCAAGUCGAGCGGGAAGCUUCCGAAUUGAGAUUUCGGUUGAUUUUUGGAAGUGGAGAGCGGCGGACGGGUGAGGAACACGUGGGGAACCCAUCCAGGCGCGGGGGAUAACCGCGGGAAACCGCGGGUAAUACCGCAUGGGCUUGGUCUCUGGUAGGGAGAGCGAGCAAAGGAGCGAUCUGUGCUUGGCGGGGCCUGCGGCCUAUCAGCUAGAUGGCGGGGUAGUGGCCCACCAUGGCGAUGACGGGUAGCUGGUCUGAGAGGACGAUCAGCCACACGGGGACUGAGACACGGCCCCGACUCCUACGGGAGGCAGCAGCAAGGAAUUUUCCGCAAUGGGCGCAAGCCUGACGGAGCGACGCCGCGUGGGGGAUGACGCUUUUCGGAGUGUAAACCCCUUUUCUGGGGGAUGAAGACAGUGACAGUACCCCAGGAAGAAGGACCGGCUAACUACGUGCCAGCAG